UGAGGAAUAUUGGUCAAUGGGUGCAAGCCUGAACCAGCCAUCCCGCGUGAAGGACGACUGCCCUAUGGGUUGUAAACUUCUUUUGUAUAGGGAUAAACCUACCCUCGUGAGGGUAGCUGAAGGUACUAUACGAAUAAGCACCGGCUAACUCCGUGCCAGCAGCCGCGGUAAUACGGAGGGUGCAAGCGUUAUCCGGAUUUAUUGGGUUUAAAGGGUCCGUAGGCGGACUUAUAAGUCAGUGGUGAAAGCCUGUCGCUUAACGAUAGAACUGCCAUUGAUACUGUAAGUCUUGAGUAUAUUUGAGGUAGCUGGAAUAGGUAGUGUAGCGGUGAAAUGCAUAGAUAUUACUUAGAACACCCAUUGCGAAGGCAGGUUACCAAGAUAUAACUGACGCUGAGGGACGAAAGCGUGGGGAGCGAACA
This 422-nucleotide ribosomal RNA is filed under the name uncultured bacterium. Its description in RNAcentral is "bacterial SSU rRNA". It matches the Rfam family "Bacterial small subunit ribosomal RNA", at positions 355 to 774 of the family's 1533-position model. The record is from RNAcentral.